GAUCCUGGCUCAGGAUGAACGCUAGCGGCAGGCCUAAUACAUGCAAGCCGACGGCAAGUUGAGUAGCAAUACUUGACCUAGAGUGGCGUAAGGGUGCGUAACACGUAUGCAAUCUGCCCACAGCCGGGAGAUAGCCUCCGAAAGGAGGAUUAAUAUCCCAUAGGAAGAUGAGAUGGCAUCAUUUAUUUUUAAACUACGGGGGCUGUGGAUGAGCAUGCGGUUGAUUAGCUAGUUGGCGGGGUAAAGGCCCACCAAGGCGAUGAUCAAUAGGGGACCUGAGAGGGUGAUCCCCCACACUGGCACUGAGAUACGGGGCCAGACUCCUACGGGAGGCAGCAGUAGGGAAUAUUGGACAAUGGGUGUAAGCCUGAUCCAGCCAUGCCGCGUGCAGGAAGAAGGCCUUCUGGGUUGUAAACUGCUUUUGCCGGGGGAUAAAAGAUCCAUGCGUGGAGAAUUGAAGGUACCCGGUGAAUAAGCCACGGCUAACUACGUG
Molecule: ribosomal RNA, 493 nt
Filed under: uncultured bacterium
Lineage: Bacteria
Description: bacterial SSU rRNA
Rfam family: Bacterial small subunit ribosomal RNA
Source: RNAcentral